UGUAGCUCAGAGGUAGAGCACCUGUCUACCACAGAUUAGGCCCUGAGUUCGAUCCUCAGCA
This 61-nucleotide transfer RNA is filed under the name Neotoma lepida (desert woodrat). It matches the Rfam family "tRNA", at positions 6 to 65 of the family's 71-position model. Rfam says of the family: Transfer RNA (tRNA) molecules are approximately 80 nucleotides in length. Lineage: Eukaryota; Metazoa; Chordata; Mammalia; Rodentia; Cricetidae. The record is from Rfam by way of RNAcentral.